AGUGAACGCUGGCGGUAGGCCUAACACAUGCAAGUCGAACGGCAGCACAGUAAGAGCUUGCUCUUACGGGUGGCGAGUGGCGGACGGGUGAGGAAUAAAUCGGAAUCUACUUUUUCGUGGGGGAUAACGUAGGGAAACUUACGCUAAUACCGCAUACGACCUACGGGUGAAAGCAGGGGAUCUUCGGACCUUGCGCGAUUGAAUGAGCCGAUGUCGGAUUAGCUAGUUGGCGGGGUAAAGGCCCACCAAGGCGACGAUCCGUAGCUGGUCUGAGAGGAUGAUCAGCCACACUGGAACUGAGACACGGUCCAGACUCCUACGGGAGGCAGCAGUGGGGAAUAUUGGACAAUGAGCGCAAGCCUGAUCCAGCCAUACCGCGUGGGUGAAGAAGGCCUUCGGGUUGUAAAGCCCUUUUGUUGGGAAAGAAAAGCAGCAGGUUAAUACCCCGCUGUUCUGACGGUACCCAAAGAAUAAGCACCGGCUAACUUCGUG
Molecule: ribosomal RNA, 492 nt
Filed under: uncultured bacterium
Lineage: Bacteria
Description: partial 16S ribosomal RNA
Rfam family: Bacterial small subunit ribosomal RNA
Source: RNAcentral